This 253-nucleotide ribosomal RNA is filed under the name uncultured bacterium. RNAcentral describes it as "partial 16S ribosomal RNA". It matches the Rfam family "Bacterial small subunit ribosomal RNA", at positions 524 to 776 of the family's 1533-position model. The record is from RNAcentral.
UACGAAGGGGGCUAGCGUUGUUCGGAAUUACUGGGCGUAAAGCGCGCGUAGGCGGUGCAUCAUGUCAGAGGUGAAAUCCCGGAGCUCAACUCCGGAACUGCCUUUGAAACGGGUGCGCUAGAAUCCGAGAGAGGAUGGCGGAAUUCCUAGUGUAGAGGUGAAAUUCGUAGAUAUUAGGAAGAACACCGGUGGCGAAGGCGGCCAUCUGGCUCGGUAUUGACGCUCAGGCGCGAAAGCGUGGGGAUCAAACAGG